RNAcentral lists this long non-coding RNA (1303 nucleotides) under Mus pahari (shrew mouse). RNAcentral's name for it is "predicted gene 11685 (MGP_PahariEiJ_G0004668.1)". The record is from RNAcentral. Lineage: Eukaryota; Metazoa; Chordata; Mammalia; Rodentia; Muridae.
GAAAAAUAAUUCACUGCAAUGGGAAUAAGGUUUGCUCAUUAUCUUCUUCCAGAUGUUUCCUGCUGCAAUAGUAAAAGUGAGAAUUUAAGACCUAUGGCCACAUAGUCUAAAAUAAAUAUCUGAACCUUUAAGGGAAAAUAUGCUGUUAAUCUCUGUGAUGAUAAAUUUUGAUUAUCAACUGAUUGGGAUGAAAAUGCCAACGAGAUUAGUGAGCUGUUCUUCUUGGUGUUUGUGUAAGGACGUUUCCCCAGGAUCAAAGUUCUGACCUGAUGAACUGCUUAACUCAAUGGAUUCAAAGAUUAAAAACAUAAAAUUAUUAUUAUUGUCAUUAUUAUUAUAAUGAUGGUGGUGGUGGUGAUGGUGGUGUAUGUGUGUGUGUGUGUGUGUGUGUGUGUGUGCACGCAUAUGUGUGGAUAUUCAUGCCACGGUGCACAUGCAGAGGUUAGAGGACAACUUGUGGGUGUCAGCUCUCUCUUUUUACCAUGUGGGUCCUGGGGAUGAAACUCAGGUUGUGAGGCUUGCAUGAAAAAUGCUUUUGUCUACUUAACCAUCACCCCUAGGCCUAGAUUCAAAUUUUGAAUAGACUAGUGGGAGGUGGCAGCUGUAGAAAGUGGGUCUUGGUUAUUGGAAGCAGGUCAGUAGGGGAGGGCAUGUCUUUGACAGUUGUAUUUUGUCCUGGCCCCUUCUUACCACGUUUCUGCUCUGCUUCUUGCCCCCCACGAUGUCAGCUGUUGCACCAGGGUCCCUUGUUGUCACAAUGGAGUCAUAGUCUGAAACCCAAGCAGAGUAAAUCUUUCUUCCUUUGAAAUUGUGUCAGGAAUCCUGUCACAGUGCUGAGAAAGCUAACACAGCGCUGCAUAGACACGACUUUCCUGUAGAUACUUUCUUGGUCAUGUGAAUAUGCUUGGUCUGUCUUGCCCAACAUGGAAGUCACUACCUACAAGUGACUUUUGAAAUGAGGCUAUUGUUAUUGAGGAAUGACCUUUGAAUUCUAUUCAACUAACUUCCCUUAAAUCUGGAGAGUUCUCUGGGUGUGUGGCUACCACCUUGGAUGAUCCUGAGAGGAUGGGUGGAUGACUGUGAGGAGGCUGAUAGAGUCUCCAGGAGCUGUGCUCUGAGAACAAAGAUACCUCCCUUCUCCCCUCAUCCCAUAACUGGGAAAUUGAAGCUUAAAGAGAUUAAUAGUAUGCCCAAGGUGACAUAGCUACAUAGCUAGUAAGGGGCAAAGCCACAGUUCUGGUCAGUUGACUUCUGGGCAUGCACCUAGCACGUGGGAAGCUUCAGGUUCAGUUCUUAGCAUUGC